CACACUGUAAACGAUGAAUGCUAGGUGUAGGAGGUAUCGACCCCUUCUGUGCCGUAGUCAACACACUAAGCAUUCCGCCUGGGGAGUACGGUCGCAAGAUUAAAACUCAAAGGAAUUGACGGGGGCCCGCACAAGCAGCGGAGCAUGUGGUUUAAUUCGAAGCAACGCGAAGAACCUUACCAGGUCUUGACAUCCGAUUAAAGCUCAUGAAAGUGAGUGUCCCUUCGGGGGAAUCGAGACAGGUGG
RNAcentral lists this ribosomal RNA (246 nucleotides) under uncultured Bacillota bacterium. RNAcentral's name for it is "uncultured Firmicutes bacterium partial 16S ribosomal RNA". It matches the Rfam family "Bacterial small subunit ribosomal RNA", at positions 796 to 1041 of the family's 1533-position model. Lineage: Bacteria; Bacillati; Bacillota. The record is from RNAcentral.